GCGGUGGAGAACAGCAGGGGACCCCACCCCUCAGGGGCCGAGCCCCCUCAGAAUUUGCUUUUGCGUAAUCGCCCCUUCUCUUGCUUAAAUUUGCUAGUGGCACUUGAGAGCAUUCGGAUGGAUUCUACAGAUACAUAUCACUGCCGGGAACAGGUUAUUUGGAGUAAAAAGACCUCCUUUUACUGAGAAGAGACGUUCGAGACAGGGCAAAAAUUCCGGGAUUUCGAGGAGCAAAGCCUUCUCCUAGACAUUGUCUCCCUUACCUGGAAAGUCACAGCUCAUAGGAACCUCUGGGCCUUGUCACCGGAUGAUGGGCAGCAGCCGCUCCACCGUGUGCUUCUCCCUAUAGCUUCCCCAUAAACAGAAAGACCGUCGCGCCACCAUUCUGUAUUGAUUACCAAGCCAUGAUGUUUGAUCAGACUUGAAGUCAGGUAAGAUGAGAAACCACUCAAACACUCUGCAAGGAUUUUUUUAUGAGAAUUAGGGUGCAUCCUUGAGACCAGUCCAAGGGCCUGGACGUCACCCUUCUCCUCCAGACCUCAUGUGUGCUCCCCGCCUCCGGCACCCCCCCCCACCUCCAGUUCCCUCCCCUGCCUGAAAGCACCUCUUUCAGGAAGCAGCAAGAGUGCCUUCUCUCCCCAGCUGGGAAACGCUCCCCCAGGAGAAGGUGUGGCCUCAUCAAGAAGAAGAAACCCGGGCACAGAAAGAUUUAAGGAUUUGCCCAUGUCCCCUGGCAAAGAGGGCAGGUCAGCAUCCACUCCCUCACAGUUAGGGGUGGAGCCUGCACUUUUAACGCCACCCAAGUGCGGCCCUCUUGCCCCCUCUGCCUGCCCUAAGCCACCAUUAACCAGGUGGCCCCAGGAGAAGGGAGGGACUGGAGAUUUGCUUUAUCCCUGAGGUACAAAUUAGGCAGCGAUUCUGGGGCGUAAAGAAAGAAAAGUGAGCCUGUUAUCUUCCCGAAUGUGGAGAGAGCUUUGCAGAGUUCUGCUGCUGCCAGAAUGGUUCAUAUCUGGGUAGGGACCAGAGCAGGGCCAUCCCCAGUCUGUCUCCGCCUGUUUGCAAGCAAUUGAAAGCCACGGAACCUUAUGAUCCUGCACCCUCAUCACAGCGUCCACGCCACAAGUGUGCCACUGUGUUAGUUGCUGAAUUAUUCUCUCAGGAGAGGGUAGUCUGGUGACUAAGUCCUGGCCCUUUAAAUUUUCCUCUUUAACUCUUCAGCUGGAAGAAAGCUCAGUGCAUCCAUCUGUAAUUCACUCUACUAGGCACUGGCUCUCCGCUGCUCUGGACACCUGAGCAAGAAUUGUCCCACUCUUGUGAGUGACCAGGAGUGUCCAUGGGACUCGUUAUUCAGCCCCACGGGAUGUUUGGUAAUUGGGUCUUAUCCUUCUCUCACACAGAAGGCAUAUCACUGAUGUAACAUUUUUAUGACAUUUAUUUUAGAAACAUGCGAAUUUCUUUCGCUAUAUUUUAUGUAAUUCGGAUGACAGAAAAAGCAUAUACUUAUUCUGCUCUAAUAUAAAUAUCCACGGGCCAAUAAUCUGGGGAAUUUCACAUCAGAAUAGAGAAACAAAAUAAAGAAGUGAGCCUGCUAAGUAUAUUAGCAGAGUUAUGCAUAACUGGAAAGGGGGAAAGGUACCUCCAGGUAUUUAUAAACUUUUAAAACAUUAUUUCCCAGAAGAGCCCUUACCGCUGGCUUCUCUUUUACACAGAGAAAAACAGUGUUUAUGCGGGAGCCUUCAGGGUUCCUUUUCUCUGCUCACCGCUGCAGGGGGGCAUCGCAACAUUAAAAUAUCUAUGUGUCCCAUUGAAAGACCCCAAAUAUAUUCUUUCCUCCUCCUACCACAGCUGUGAAUGCGGCUCAGGAAACUGGGAAUUGCCGCUUCCCCCACUGUCAUUAGUCUGCACACUUCAACCUUCCUGAGGUUUUCCAUGCUCGUUAUAGAUGCCUUGCUUCCAUUUCCCACGCAGUGAAAUCAAGCCGCACACCCCAAAGGGCCGUGACCACAGCUCUCCGGUACUCAGCAUCCUGGGCGUUCAUUCCGCCAGCAAUCCCACCUGCGUCGGUGAAAUCGCUGAAGGCAGCGCUAAUGAAUGUCUCCUUGCUUGUCCCGAACUCUCCUCGCAGGAUAUCUGGCCUCGGAAUCGACUUUCUGGUCUUGUACUUUUUUCGCAAUCCAAAUUAGCUUAAUGCACGACAGCGAUCUCAGACUAGAGGUAGCACUCAGACGGUGGGGAGAAAUCAAAUACCGAAUCAAUUCGGGGAAAAAAAAUAGAAAUAGCGCAUGACAUUUAAUUCCAGCACCUUUGGGGCUGGAAAGGCAAAGAGGGAAGCAGCAGCCCUUCACUGCGGGAUGGAAGUAUGUGUACGGACGGCCUCAUCCGUAGUUGCUGGAUGUUCCGUUCCCUGGGUUGUAACCAAAUAAUGUCAUUGGCAAAAUGCGAAGUGUUCAUUUAUUGACUGCAUGGGGGGCAAAGAAUAUCAUAAAGGAACAAUUUAAAUCAUUACCUCAAAUUUAUCUCCAGUCUUUAAGUCUGUCUUGCUCUCAUGUGUAUAUUAUUUUAAAUUAUUUAUUAGUUUAAAUAAAGUAGCACAUACCACUUGGGUUCAGAA
RNAcentral lists this long non-coding RNA (2611 nucleotides) under Sus scrofa (pig). RNAcentral describes it as "lncRNA (ENSSSCG00060005486.1)". The record is from RNAcentral. Lineage: Eukaryota; Metazoa; Chordata; Mammalia; Artiodactyla; Suidae.